AUGCCCAAGAACCUGGACUCCCUAGGGGACAGCCUUCCAGACCUCAGGAAUGUUUGCAUUCUCAACACGUUUGAAGCUUUUGAGGUAAAUGAGCUAAAAGAGAAGGGCAACAAGGCCCUGAGUGCUGGUAACAUUGAUGACACCUUACAAUGUUACUCUGAAGCCAUUAAGUUGGAUCCCCAGAACCAUGUGCUCUACAGCAAUCAUUCUGCAGCCUAUGCCAAGAAAGGAGACUACCAGAAGACUUACGAGGAUGGCUGCAAGACCAUUGACUUAAAACCUGACUGGGGUAAGGGUUAUUCUUGAAAAGCAGCAGCUCUUGAACUCUUAAACCUAUUUGAAGAAGCCAAACGAACCUAUGAGGAGGGCUUAAAACAUGAAGCCAAUAACCCUCAGCUCAAAGAACGUUUACAGAACAUGGAGGCCAGGUUUAGCAGAGAGGAAAUUCAUGAACCCUUUCAACAUGCCCAAUCUGUAUCAGAAGUUGGAGAAUGAUCCUAGGAUGAGAAUGCUGCUUAGUGAUCCUUAAUAGAGCAGCUACGAAACAAGCUGUCCAAUCUGGGCAAGAAUCUACAAGAUCCCAGCAUCACGACUACUCUCAGUGUUCUCCUCGGAGUUGAUCUGGGCAGCAAGGAUAAGGAGGAAGAGGUUGCAACCCCACAGCCACAUCCCCCUCCCAAAAAGGAGACCAAGCCAGAGCCAAUGGAAGAAGAUCUUCCAGAGAGUAAGAAGCAGGCACUGAAGGAAAAAGAGUUGGGGAAUGAUGCCUACCGGAAGAAAGACUUUGACACAGCCUUGAAGCAUUAUGACAGAGCUAAGGAACUGGACCCCACCAACAUGACCUACAUUACUAACCAAGCAGCAGUGUACUUUGAAAAGGGUGACUACAAUAAAUGCCGGGAGUUUUGUGAGAAGGCCAUUGAAGUGGGGAGAGAAAACCGAGAAGACUACCAACAGAUUGCCAAAGCUUAUGCCUGAAUUGGCAACUCCUACUUCAAAGAAGAAAAGUACAAGGACGCCAUCCACUUCUAUAACAAGUCUCUUGCAGAGCACUGAACCCCAGAUGUGCUCAAAAAAUGCCAGCAGGCAGAGAAAAUCCUGAAAGAGCAAGAGAGGCUGGCCUACAUAAACCCUGACUUGGCCUUGGAGAAGAACAAAGGCAAUGAAUGUUUUCAGAAAGGGGACUAUCCCCAGACCAUGAAGCAUUAUACAGAAGCCAUUAAAAGGAACCCACAAGAUGCCAAAUUGUACAGCAAUCGAGCUGCCUGCUACACCAAACUCCUGGAGUUUCAGCUGGCACUCAAGGAUUGUGAGGAAUGUAUCCAGCUAGAACCAACCUUUAUUAAAGGUUAUACAUGGAAAUCAGCUGCCCUAGAAGCAAUGAAGGACUACACAAAAGCCAUGGAUGUGUACCAGAAGGCAUUAGACCUGGACUCCAACUGCAAGGAGGCAGCAGACGGUUACCAAUGCUGUAUGAUGGCCCAGUACAACCAGCAUGAUAGCUCCAAAGAUGUGAAGUGGCAGGCUAUGGCUGACCCUGAGGUGCAGCAGAUAAUGAGUGACCUGGCCAUCAGGCUCAUCCUGGAACAGAUGCAGAAGGACCCCCAGGCACUCAGUGAACACUUAAAGAAUCCUGUAUUAGCACAGAAGAUUCAGAAGCUGAUGGAUGUGGGUCUCAUUGCAAUUCGGUGAUGACUUGGUCACCCCCCUUCCCUUCAUUCUGAUGUGGAAAGAGAAGCUGGG
RNA transcript from Nycticebus coucang (slow loris), 1743 nucleotides. It is a transcript of the gene named stress-induced-phosphoprotein 1-like, with no coding region annotated. NCBI's taxonomy places the organism in Eukaryota, Metazoa, Chordata, Mammalia, Primates, Lorisidae. The record is from RefSeq and is a predicted model, not a curated record. The transcript is spliced from 2 exons.